RNAcentral lists this transfer RNA (72 nucleotides) under Zygosaccharomyces mellis. RNAcentral's name for it is "tRNA-Gly". It matches the Rfam family "tRNA". Rfam says of the family: Transfer RNA (tRNA) molecules are approximately 80 nucleotides in length. Their secondary structure includes four short double-helical elements and three loops (D, anti-codon, and T loops). The record is from RNAcentral. RNAcentral also lists the same sequence under 1 other name. Lineage: Eukaryota; Fungi; Ascomycota; Saccharomycetes; Saccharomycetales; Saccharomycetaceae.
AUAGGUAUAAGUUAAUUGGUAAACUAAAUGUCUUCCAAACAUUGAAUAUGAGUUCAAGUCUCAUUACCUAUA